AGAACGAACGCUGGCGGCAGGCUUAACACAUGCAAGUCGAACGCACCUUUCGGGGUGAGUGGCAGACGGGUGAGUAACACGUGGGAACGUACCCUUUGGUCUGGAAUAACCCUGGGAAACUAGGGCUAAUACCGGAUACGGCCGAGAGGCGAAAGGUUGACUGCCGGAGGAUCGGCCCGCGUCCGAUUAGCUAGUUGGUGAGGUAAUGGCUCACCAAGGCAUCGAUCGGUAGCUGGUCUGAGAGGAUGACCAGCCACAUUGGGACUGAGACACGGCCCAAACUCCUACGGGAGGCAGCAGUGGGGAAUAUUGGACAAUGGGCGCAAGCCUGAUCCAGCCAUGCCGCGUGAGUGAUGACGGCCUUAGGGUUGUAAAGCUCUUUUACCUGGGAAGAUCAUGACGGUACCAGGAGAAUAAGCCCCGGCUAACUUCGCGCCAGCAGCCGC
This 446-nucleotide ribosomal RNA is filed under the name uncultured bacterium. RNAcentral describes it as "SSU rRNA". It matches the Rfam family "Bacterial small subunit ribosomal RNA", at positions 26 to 518 of the family's 1533-position model. The record is from RNAcentral.